This 75-nucleotide transfer RNA is filed under the name Acidobacteriota bacterium. Its description in RNAcentral is "Acidobacteria bacterium tRNA-His". It matches the Rfam family "tRNA". From Rfam's summary of the family: Transfer RNA (tRNA) molecules are approximately 80 nucleotides in length. Their secondary structure includes four short double-helical elements and three loops (D, anti-codon, and T loops). Lineage: Bacteria; Pseudomonadati; Acidobacteriota. The record is from RNAcentral. RNAcentral also lists the same sequence under 8 other names.
GCGGGAUUGGCCGAAUGGCUUAGGCACUGGAUUGUGGCUCCAGUCACGAGAGUUCGAUUCUCUCAUCUCGCCCCA